GACAGAGGUCCCGAGCGUUAGGCGGAAUCACUGGGCUUAAAGCGUGUGUAGGCGGAUCGUUAAGUGCCUUGUGAAAUCCCACGGCUUAACCGUGGAACUGCUUGGCAUACUGGCGGUCUUGAGCCACCUAGGGGCAACCGGAACAAAUGGUGGAGCGGUGAAAUGCGUAGAUAUCAUUUGGAACGCCAAUGGUGAAAACAGGUUGCUGGGGGUGUGCUGACGCUGAGACACGAAAGCCAGGGGAGCGAACGGG
This 253-nucleotide ribosomal RNA is filed under the name uncultured bacterium. Its description in RNAcentral is "partial 16S ribosomal RNA". It matches the Rfam family "Bacterial small subunit ribosomal RNA", at positions 524 to 776 of the family's 1533-position model. The record is from RNAcentral.